Molecule: long non-coding RNA, 1466 nt
Organism: Papaver somniferum (opium poppy)
Lineage: Eukaryota; Viridiplantae; Streptophyta; Magnoliopsida; Ranunculales; Papaveraceae
Exons: 6
Source: RefSeq, a predicted model, not a curated record
UAUCAUUCAUUCGACGGUUACUCUUAUCAUUCAAUUUCAAAGACGUUUGUUUUCUUCUUAGUGAAACCGAUCUCUCAUAAAUCCCACGUUUGAGAACCAUCCAACUCAGAGGAUGUUUCAUAAUGCUUUCAACCAAGGGGUUUGUGCAUUUUAUGAUGCGAUUUUACAAGCCGAUCGUCAUUCCAAAUAAUCCCAGGUCUCCCAAGCAAAACCAAAUUAUCAGGUAUAUGAUUAUCAACUGGCUAACUGAAAUUGCCCAAGGAAACCAUGCCAGAUUCAGUCCAUACUCUUUCAUUGUUUUCAAAUGGGUUCCCAGAUUGUCAACAGCCCUUCCAAGAAUCCGGCGAAAACAUACAAAACCUUCUCCCAUAUUGGAGGCCUAAGAAGGCACAAAAUGGAUGACUGGCGUUCGAAUCUCAAAAAAGUGGAAUGAACUAGAUUUCAUGGGGGGUAACGAGGUCACCAGCCUGGACGUCUUUAUUUUCUAUGAUGCCUAUUCAACUCUAUAAUGCAUGUAACCAAUUGAAUUUUUGUCAAAGAGAGCACAAAUCGAAUUUUGGAUACCAGCAGGUGGCACUAUUUGGGAUGCAACAACUGCACGACUAAAAUGGUUGGUGAAGAAGGAGACCGUGGAUGCACCAAGUAUUGAGGAACCUGUAUCACGUUGUGUUACUACUUACUGUGGCAUAUAAUUAAUUUUCGUUUGACCAUAGCAGACAACACUAUAUUUGCUGCCCUGGAGAGUGAAGUCCAGCGUAUUGUCCACGCCACUGCCUCAGACGUAUUUAUGAUGGAGGAGGUAUGCCACCAUCUGUUUUUAUCUUUACUUAAUUAGGCAUUCUUGAGUCAGUUAAAAAAAUACUGAAUAAGUCAUCUUUAAGUCGGUUAAUCAAACUCGAUUGUGUGUACAUUUAAGUUCCAAAGUACCGGUGUUUUGCAAUGAUGUAAUCAAACUUCAUGAUAUAAUAGCCAGCCGGAAAAGGGAAAAUGUAAGGUGGUUGCAGCUUUUAAAAAAGAUCUUGAUUGUUGAGAUGGACCACCCAUCACUGCGUUCAACAAGAAGAAGCAAACACUCCCAGCUACACAGUUACAAGGUUUUCUUAACUUUUGGAAGCCCCAACUGUCCCUCCCUCGGGUCCCUUGCUCACAACUGCCAAGGAUUAAACUGAUCCAGAUACGAGACCAAGUAGAUCCAGUUAGUGUGUAAUAACUAAUAUGUCUGCCUCUACUGUGCUCUUCAGUGAUGAAGUUUGAAGAGAGAGACUUUGGGCGGUAAUAGAUGCAUCAUGAAGCAUAUGAAUAUCUAGAUGUGUUGUCGCUCUUUUUUUUGGUUGUUUUUGUAGUGUUUCUAUUUCUGCAGUUUAUGUUGUAUUCCUACAACUACAAGAUGUUCUGUUACACUCUUUUUAUCAAAUGUUUACAGCUCAUAUUUCGAGGAGAGUCAUGGUUUACUCAUUUAAAGGACA